Molecule: ribosomal RNA, 253 nt
Filed under: uncultured bacterium
Lineage: Bacteria
Description: partial 16S ribosomal RNA
Rfam family: Bacterial small subunit ribosomal RNA
Source: RNAcentral
UACGUAGGGGGCGAACGUUGUCCGGAUUUACUGGGUGUAAAGGGUGCUCAGGCGGUCUUGUAAGUCAGAGGUGAAAUCUCAAGGCUUAACCUUGAAACUGCCUUUGAUACUGCUGGGCUUGAGUACGGAAGAGGCGGAUGGAAGUCCUGGUGUAGCAGUGAAAUGCGUAGAUAUCAGGAGGAACACCGGUGGCGAAGGCGAUCCGCUGGCCCGUUACUGACGCUAAAGCACGAAAGCGUGGGGAGCAAACAGG